RNAcentral lists this unclassified non-coding RNA (342 nucleotides) under uncultured fungus. Its description in RNAcentral is "partial contains small subunit ribosomal RNA, internal transcribed spacer 1, and 5.8S ribosomal RNA". The stretch from base 1 to 73 matches the Rfam family "Eukaryotic small subunit ribosomal RNA", at positions 1759 to 1831 of the family's 1831-position model. Lineage: Eukaryota; Fungi. The record is from RNAcentral.
GCAAACUUGGUCAUUUAGAGGAAGUAAAAGUCGUAACAAGGUCUCCGUAGGUGAACCUGCGGAGGGAUCAUUACCGAGUGAAGGCCCCUUAAACCAGGGCCGACCUCCCAACCCUUUGUUUACCGAACCUCUUGUUGCUUCGGCGGGCCCGUCCCCUCGAGGACCGCCGGGGGAGCGCCCUUCGGGGCACCCCUGGCCCGCGCCCGUCGAUAGCCCAAACCCCCAAAUUCGUGAAUGAAUCGUGUCUAUAAUUCUGAGUAACUGGUCUUAACCGGCCGCAAAAUUAAAAGCAAAACUUUCAACAACGGAUCUCUUGGUUCUGGCAUCGAUGAAGAACGCAGC